This 892-nucleotide ribosomal RNA is filed under the name uncultured bacterium. Its description in RNAcentral is "bacterial SSU rRNA". It matches the Rfam family "Bacterial small subunit ribosomal RNA", at positions 11 to 916 of the family's 1533-position model. The record is from RNAcentral.
GUUUGAUCCUGGCUCAGGACGAACGCUGGCGGCGCGCCUAACACAUGCAAGUCGAACGAGCGAGAGAGAGCUUGCUUUCUCGAGCGAGCGGCGAACGGGUGAGUAACGCGUGAGGAACCUGCCUCAAAGAGGGGGACAACAGUUGGAAACGACUGCUAAUACCGCAUAAGCCCACGGCUCGGCAUCGAGCAGAGGGAAAAGGAGUAAUCCGCUUUGAGAUGGCCUCGCGUCCGAUUAGCUAGUUGGUGAGGUAAUGGCCCACCAAGGCGACGAUCGGUAGCCGGACUGAGAGGUUGAACGGCCACAUUGGGACUGAGACACGGCCCAGACUCCUACGGGAGGCAGCAGUGGGGAAUAUUGCACAAUGGGGGAAACCCUGAUGCAGCGACGCCGCGUGGAGGAAGAAGGUCUUCGGAUUGUAAACUCCUGUUGUUGGGGAAGAUAAUGACGGUACCCAACAAGGAAGUGACGGCUAACUACGUGCCAGCAGCCGCGGUAAAACGUAGGUCACAAGCGUUGUCCGGAAUUACUGGGUGUAAAGGGAGCGCAGGCGGGAAGACAAGUUGGAAGUGAAAUCUAUGGGCUCAACCCAUAAACUGCUUUCAAAACUGUUUUUCUUGAGUAGUGCAGAGGUAGGCGGAAUUCCCGGUGUAGCGGUGGAAUGCGUAGAUAUCGGGAGGAACACCAGUGGCGAAGGCGGCCUACUGGGCACCAACUGACGCUGAGGCUCGAAAGUGUGGGUAGCAAACAGGAUUAGAUACCCUGGUAGUCCACACCGUAAACGAUGAUUACUAGGUGUUGGAGGAUUGACCCCUUCAGUGCCGCAGUUAACACAAUAAGUAAUCCACCUGGGGAGUACGACCGCAAGGUUGAAACUCAAAGGAAUUGACGG